GUUUCCAUAGUGUAGCGGUUAUCACGUCGGCUUUACACGCUGAAGGUCUUCAGUUCGUUCCUGGGUGGAAACA
Non-coding RNA from Daphnia pulex (common water flea), 73 nucleotides. NCBI's taxonomy places the organism in Eukaryota, Metazoa, Arthropoda, Branchiopoda, Diplostraca, Daphniidae. The record is from Rfam.